Molecule: ribosomal RNA, 515 nt
Filed under: Aquiloeurycea galeanae (Galaena false brook salamander)
Lineage: Eukaryota; Metazoa; Chordata; Amphibia; Caudata; Plethodontidae
Description: partial 16S ribosomal RNA
Rfam family: Bacterial large subunit ribosomal RNA
Source: RNAcentral
CGCCUUUUGAUUUACAAAUAUAAAAGGUCCUGCCUGCCCAGUGACUUGUUUUUAACGGCCGCGGUAUCAUGACCGUGCAAAGGUAGCGUAAUCACUUGUCUUUUAAAUAAAGACCAGUAUGAAUGGCAAGACGAGAGCCUAACUGUCUCCCUAGAUUAAUCAAUGAAAUUGAUUUUCCCGUGCAGAAGCGGGAAUAAUAAUAUAAGACGAGAAGACCCUGUGGAGCUUCAAACUUAAACUAAUAACCAUAAAAAUAUUUUAGCCUCCAGUUUUGGGUUGGGGCGACCACGAGGUAAAACACAACCCUCGAGACAAAUAAAGAAGGACACUUCAAAUAAACACAACAGUACAUUGACCCAAUAAUUGAUCAACGAACCAAGUUACCCCAGGGAUAACAGCGCAAUCUACUCAAAGAGCCCAUAUCGACGAGCAGGUUUACGACCUCGAUGUUGGAUCAGGACCCCCCAAUUACGCAACAGUUAUUAAAGGUUCGUUUGUUCAACGAUUAAAGUCCU